RNAcentral lists this ribosomal RNA (232 nucleotides) under uncultured bacterium. RNAcentral describes it as "partial 16S ribosomal RNA". It matches the Rfam family "Bacterial small subunit ribosomal RNA", at positions 118 to 347 of the family's 1533-position model. The record is from RNAcentral.
UGAGUAACCUGCCCUUAACUCUGGGAUAAGCCUGGGAAACUGGGUCUAAUACCGGAUAUGACUCCUCAUCGCAUGGUGGGGGGUGGAAAGCUUUAUUGUGGUUUUGGAUGGACUCGCGGCCUAUCAGCUUGUUGGUGAGGUAAUGGCUCACCAAGGCGACGACGGGUAGCCGGCCUGAGAGGGUGACGGCCACACUGGGACUGAGACACGGCCCAGACUCCUACGGGAGCAG